Molecule: small RNA, 204 nt
Filed under: Arabidopsis thaliana (thale cress)
Lineage: Eukaryota; Viridiplantae; Streptophyta; Magnoliopsida; Brassicales; Brassicaceae
Description: ATSL177770
Source: RNAcentral
UUUACGAUUUUGAGGGUUUUCACCAAUCCUAUUAUUUAACUUAUUUACACAACGUAAUAAGUAUAUUUGCCAACUUCGGUUUAAACCAAUGUUUUGAAACCCGACCCGGACGAUGAACCGGACUAUCUUCUGGGUCACUGGGUCAUCGGGUCAACCGGGUUGGACCACGGGUUAAUUAGUUAAAAUUUAUUUAAUAAAUUUAAU